AACGCACAUUGCGCCCGCCAGCAUUCUGGCGGGCAUGCCUGUUCGAGCGUCAUUUCAACCCCUCAGGCCCUGGUGCCUGGCGUCGGGGCUCUCCCUCGCGGGAGGCCCCCAGAGACAGUGGCGGACCCGCCGCGGCUCCGAGCGCAGUAGUAAAAUAUCUCGCUUAGGAGGCCCGCGGAGGAGCUUUCCGGCCGUAAAACCAGGUCUGCAAAGACCGACCCCACCAAGGUUGACCUCGGAUCAGGUAGGAAUACCCGCUGAACUUAA
RNAcentral lists this unclassified non-coding RNA (267 nucleotides) under uncultured fungus. RNAcentral describes it as "partial contains 5.8S ribosomal RNA, internal transcribed spacer 2, and large subunit ribosomal RNA". RNAcentral also lists the same sequence under 1 other name. Lineage: Eukaryota; Fungi. The record is from RNAcentral.